RNAcentral lists this unclassified non-coding RNA (253 nucleotides) under uncultured Bacteroidales bacterium. RNAcentral's name for it is "contains 16S-23S intergenic spacer region". It matches the Rfam family "Bacterial small subunit ribosomal RNA", at positions 524 to 776 of the family's 1533-position model. The record is from RNAcentral. Lineage: Bacteria; Pseudomonadati; Bacteroidota; Bacteroidia; Bacteroidales.
UACGGAGGAUCCAAGCGUUAUCCGGAAUCAUUGGGUUUAAAGGGUCCGUAGGCGGGUGCGUAAGUCAGUGGUGAAAGUCUGCAGCUCAACUGUAGGACUGCCAUUGAUACUGUUGGUCUUGAGUACAGUUGCGGUAGGCGGAAUGUGUAAUGUAGCGGUGAAAUGCUUAGAUAUUACACAGAACACCGAUUGCGUAGGCAGCUUACUAAACUGUAACUGACGCUGAGGCACGAAAGCGUGGGGAGCGAACAGG